GGGCCCGCACAAGCGGUGGAGUAUGUGGUUUAAUUCGAUGCAACGCGAAGAACCUUACCAGGGUUUGACAUCCUGCGAAUCUCUUGGAAACAGGAGAGUGCCUUCGGGAACGCAGUGACAGGUGGUGCAUGGCUGUCGUCAGCUCGUGUCGUGAGAUGUUGGGUUAAGUCCCGCAACGAGCGCAACCCACGUCUUUAGUUGCCAGCGGGUAAUGCCGGGGACUCUAGAGAGACUGCCGGUGUCAAACCGGAGGAAGGUGGGGAUGACGUCAAGUCCUCAUGGCCUUUAUGUCUAGGGCUGCACACGUCCUACAAUGGUACGGACAAACGGACGCGAAACCGCGAGGUGGAGCAAAUCCCAUAAACCGUGGCUCAGUUCAGAUCGUAGGCUGCAACUCGCCUACGUGAAGGCGGAAUCGCUAGUAAUCGCAGGUC
RNAcentral lists this ribosomal RNA (434 nucleotides) under uncultured bacterium. Its description in RNAcentral is "bacterial SSU rRNA". It matches the Rfam family "Bacterial small subunit ribosomal RNA", at positions 917 to 1350 of the family's 1533-position model. The record is from RNAcentral.